RNAcentral lists this ribosomal RNA (250 nucleotides) under uncultured bacterium. RNAcentral describes it as "partial 16S ribosomal RNA". It matches the Rfam family "Bacterial small subunit ribosomal RNA", at positions 524 to 773 of the family's 1533-position model. The record is from RNAcentral.
UACGUAGGGAGCAAGCGUUAUCCGGAUUUACUGGGUGUAAAGGGCGAGUAGGCGGGCCGACAAGUUGGGAGUGAAAUCCGGGGGCUUAACCCCCGAACUGCUUUCAAAACUGUUGGUCUUGAGUGAUGGAGAGGCAGGCGGAAUUCCCAGUGUAGCGGUGAAAUGCGUAGAUAUUGGGAGGAACACCAGUGGCGAAGGCGGCCUGCUGGACAUUAACUGACGCUGAUGAGCGAAAGCGUGGGGAGCAAAC